UAAGGAGGAUGCGAGCGUUAUCCGGAUUUAUUGGGUUUAAAGGGAGCGUAGGUGGAUUGUUAAGUCAGUUGUGAAAGUUUGCGGCUCAACCGUAAAAUUGCAGUUGAAACUGGCAGUCUUGAGUACAGUAGAGGUGGGCGGAAUUCGUGGUGUAGCGGUGAAAUGCUUAGAUAUCACGAAGAACUCCGAUUGCGAAGGCAGCCUACCGGCUUCUGUCUGACGCUGAGGCACGAAAGCGUGGGUAUCGAACAGG
RNAcentral lists this ribosomal RNA (253 nucleotides) under uncultured Bacteroides sp. RNAcentral describes it as "partial 16S ribosomal RNA". It matches the Rfam family "Bacterial small subunit ribosomal RNA", at positions 524 to 776 of the family's 1533-position model. The record is from RNAcentral. Lineage: Bacteria; Pseudomonadati; Bacteroidota; Bacteroidia; Bacteroidales; Bacteroidaceae.